UGCCCUCGAUUGUCUCGCUAGGAGGACGAGAACCACGCCCAAGCCGCCAUCGCCGCCGCCGAUCCCUUCACCGCGACCGAUCUACUCGCUAUGUCGACGGCAACCACGCCCUAGCCGCCAUCACGGAUCCUUUGCCGUCCCAGCCCCAAGACGAGCCGCUGCCGGCGAGGACCGAGAGGAGCCACCGCUUCCAGGUUGCCGCCUUCACACACUGCCUCGGGUUCAUUGAUCUCUCCUCACCUCGCCACUCCUCACUGCCAGCCCCGCACAGCUCUACCCCCAUGGCGGCAAUUCGUUCAAUGGCGUCCAUGAGAGGUGGCUGCAGCCGCCAUGGUGCCGAUCCGGUCCUUGCUGCUGGAUCCGGCCCUCUCCACUCCGCCUCUCGGUCCGAUCCAAUAGAGGCCUCCGAUGGCGGCCUCACCGUCGACGCCACCAUCAUGCCGGUCCUCCCCGACACCUCUUCCUCCACCAUCAAGGCCCAGGAGACCUUGGAGCUCACCCCCAGCGCGUCCCCUGCUUCCAUCGAGAUGGUGCCAGUCACCUGUUCGACGGAAUGCUUGACCCAGGUCACCGCCGUCACCCAUGUUGACGAGGUCCAUGAUGCCACCACCUGCGCCCCGAGCCCGCCGUCAACAUCAACGACGAGGACGUCGAGAAGGUCCCACCCGCGUGGGCACCGCCCACCAUCAGCACCGACACCUCCUAUCUCAACAAGGAGGUCGUUCCUCCCAUGGCGACCACCAUCGACAUCAACCCCAAGGCCCACAUAGAAGAGUUAGACCAUGACGUCAUCCUCGUGGCCUCCAACAACCUCACAACACCAGCACCGACUAGGUGCUUGACAGAAAGCUCCGUCCGUGCAGGCGACUGGGUGAAGCAUCUAUCCGCCCUGAACUAUGGCGUUCACCAUAUAGCAAAGAGAACAACUAGGUGCCUGCUGCCAGGACAACAAGGAACCAUGUAGCAACCAUGGUUACCCACUAUUCCAGUGCAUGUUGUUGUGAUCAACACCGUUCUAUUCCAUGGCAUAGCUCACUGUAGUGUCUCUGGUGAUCCUGUAUAUGUGUGGUGGCCACCGGACGACCAAUCGAGGACUAAGUGUGAAGUGCAAGAUCCUAUUCAGUAUACUCGAGGUAACACUACUCUGGAUUACAAUAAUUCGACCUUCCAUGGCAAAGCAGCGGGGCAGCCCGAGGUGAACCAUGACUUGGAGAAGCAGAGCAUUGUCAGGUUUGAUGCACUGCUUGGUGAUCCAGACAAGUUGAAGGAAGAACAAGCAACUGUCAAGGCCCAAGUUGUCUUUGGAUGUUACCUAGCACGCUGGGCAUUCCGUGCAUUGGAAUGGAUCAUAUGACUUCAGGCACUGAUUCGUGGCCAUCUUGUACAAAGCAAUGCCAACCUUUCUGGUGAUGCAAUUCAAUUUAGUUGAAAGUUUGUCAAGCAAAAAUCCGUGGUUCCUAAACUAGAUGCAUGGAGAGAGAGGUCAACUUCCAAUGCAAUUGCUCACAAGCUUCUAGCUUCACCGAUUCUGGGAGAGGCCUUUCACUUUCAGUACAGCGAGAGGGAUCCCAAUUCAGCCUUCAACUGGUUAGAGAGAUGGAACAUUAGUCGUGUUUGGAAACCCACUCAUCAAACAAGGAUAGGUGCUAUUACUGAUGCCAAACCUGCUCACUACAGUCAGCAUGCUACAAUAGUGAUGCAUCUAUUUCAGAGUGUGAAGAACACAAGUACUUUGACUGCAGACCUGUCAAGCAAAAAUGAUCUCCAGUCCAUGCAGUUUCAGCGCCAACAAUGUUUCCCGGAAUGUGCACCAUAUAAUGCAGAGGUGCAGAGCGCUAGUAGUCACUUGUAGUAUGCACUCCAGCUUCAAGCGUUGGAUGUUUCUACAGAUUUCAGUACGGUAGAAUUGCAGGCAAAUUAUUGCAAUAGAAGCUUGGCAAUACAUGCAAAUUGCAUGAAUUCUUGGAAUCUCAACAACAGUGAACAUACUGACCCAGAAUCCCAAUCUGCAUGUUCUAGGAAGGUGGGAAACUUCUUUAUAGAUGGUGUUCAGCUGCCAGUUGAUAACUCUUGCUUGAUAAAUUCAGUAUGCUCUGUACCUGGUUAUCAAAAUGAUCUUACUGUUACUAAUGUCGACGAUAUGCUCAAAUCCACUACUGAAGAUAACUGCAGCAAAGGCAUUUUAAUGCAGGACAAUGCAUUGCAUUUUUUCUGGGAGGCCAGACCUGAACAACAAGAGGACAUCUACAACAGGGAGAGUACCGCUGAAAUUCCUACGAGAUAUCAAGUACAGGAACAUGCUGCCAAAUGCAGUUUACCUACGCCUGACCAUCAGCCAAGGAUGUAAACAAUCUGCAAGAAAUGUUACCUUAUACCCCAUUGCAUACUUUUCUGGUCUCAUAGGUGGAGCAGUAAACCAUUUUCUUUUGGACAUCUUGCAUCAUAUCUGCAUUCUUACUCCAUAAGCGUCACUUUGAAUGACAGUCAUGAGCAUCCAUAUGUACAGUUCGACAAGCUAUUGGCCACUCGAAUUGAACAAGAGGUAUUCGAUCAAAGGUGUACUUCUAGCUGGGCAUACAAACCUAACCAAUAUGGUGAUCUCUUGGUCCUUUCAUGUUUGACGGUUCAACAUGUUUAUGUUCUGUGGUCUAGGUGCAAAGCCAUCUGGCUCAUCCCAACAGAUCCAUUCACAAAUGAGCAGCAACUACUUGGGUAUACGAGUUUGAAUUGCUUCGGCUUUAUUCAAGGAGUUCCUUGUGAUUCUGGUUCUUCUACUGCUGUCUUGGACCUUUACUGCUCAUGGCAGUACCUUGUCAAGCUAUGGAUGGUGCUCUUCUUGGGGACCAGAUGCAGGUCUCACCACUACUCUGUUUUGGUUAGCCCAUAACAGCAAAAAACUACAAGAAGGGAUGCCAUGUAUUUCUCAGAGCUCUACUACGUGUGGUGGCUUGCAUGCAAUGAGAUCCAUAACUGAAGAUUAUCCUAUAGUUCUUAUCCUGGUAUGGCAGUUCAUACAAUCAGUUCACCAUGCAACUUCUUGCGAGCAGUGGGACCCAGGAGGAUUGUAUUUUGCGGAGCCAGGAGAUCGAGCACCAACUUGGGGGGCAAGCCGGUUGUUAAGGAGGAGGGGAUGUCAGCGUCCCAAAUUACUAUGGAAGCAGCAAGCCCACCAAGCAACUUGUACAUUGGCCGAACCUGAAGAUGGGCCAUAACCGACUACAAAUACCAGCACGGGAAGCAGCAGGCAACUCAUCCGGGCUUGGAUCACGACAAUGGCGGCUUCCCUGGCACCCUCUAUCUUUCUUCCUCCUCCCUCCCUCUUCCUCCUUGUUCUCUGAACUCUAGCAAUUUCUCUUGUAUCGAGCUGUAAUUCGAAAUCAUGAUUGAGAAAAGUGAAUCGAUAGCUGGUCCCUAACAUCGUGAGGUCCUAGCGGCAACGUCAGGCCCCUUGCGGUUGGGGUCGAUUUGAGGUUGCUCCGGUGGAAUCAUGGAACAUGCCCCAUUGUUACAGCCUUACAGGGGCUCCCAAGGCCAGGUUAGCGAAAUCCAGUUGCUCCACGUACGGGGUUAUUUUCACCUCUGUUUGCUUUUGCGUUUUUGCAAGCCAAAAAUAGGUGAGCGAAUCGGGAUUCAGAUGUGGGGGAUUUUUGGCCAUGAUGUUGUUCCAUAUUCUUUUUGCGAUUCAGCCACGACAAUGGGAGCUUGGAAGCGAGCUAGACUUGAAUUGCAUGUGAGCGAGCUCGGUGACGAUCGCAAGACCCCACCUCGAGUGUUCCCAUCCACCUACAUCGGCUUCAUACAGGUGAAGACACAUGCUCAAUCUACCAUUACAUGGUUGGCACAUGCUUGAAUGUAUGAAACUAUUAUUCUUGCUAAGUUUUUCUCUUUCAACCAUGAAGUGCAAUAGUAUAGGUGAGCGCUCGUACCAGGCUCCAGAUUGCCACAUUUGUCCAACAAAUGCACCAGCUUAAAAAUCUUGCUGUUUGUAUGCAUCCACCACCUGAACCUUAAUCCGAGUUUAUGAAGAAAUUGAUGUAACAUCUGCUCUUAUGUUCUUUGUAACUACCGAAUUGGAACCCGAUGGGAAGUAAUUUUUGAUUGAAUGAACAGGGCCACUAUGUUUUAACA
Triticum dicoccoides is the source of this 4128-nucleotide long non-coding RNA. RefSeq lists it as uncharacterized. Lineage: Eukaryota; Viridiplantae; Streptophyta; Magnoliopsida; Poales; Poaceae. The transcript is spliced from 2 exons. The record is from RefSeq and is a predicted model, not a curated record.